Molecule: transfer RNA, 91 nt
Filed under: Rhodocyclaceae bacterium
Lineage: Bacteria; Pseudomonadati; Pseudomonadota; Betaproteobacteria; Rhodocyclales; Rhodocyclaceae
Description: tRNA-Ser
Rfam family: tRNA
About the family: Transfer RNA (tRNA) molecules are approximately 80 nucleotides in length. Their secondary structure includes four short double-helical elements and three loops (D, anti-codon, and T loops).
Source: RNAcentral
GGAGAGAUGGCCGAGUGGUCGAGGCGCUCCCCUGCUAAGGGAGUAUGCGGGCAAAACCUGCAUCGAGGGUUCGAAUCCUCUCUCUCCGCCA